UAAUGACUCUCGGCAACGGAUAUCUCGGCUCUCGCAUCGAUGAAGAACGUAGCGAAAUGCGAUACUUGGUGUGAAUUGCAGAAUCCCGUGAACCAUCGAGUCUUUGAACGCAAGUUGCGCCCCAAGCUGUUAGGCUGAGGGCACGCCUGCCUGGGUGUCACG
This 162-nucleotide ribosomal RNA is filed under the name Boronia denticulata. RNAcentral describes it as "5.8S ribosomal RNA". It matches the Rfam family "5.8S ribosomal RNA". Rfam says of the family: 5.8S ribosomal RNA (5.8S rRNA) is a component of the large subunit of the eukaryotic ribosome. Lineage: Eukaryota; Viridiplantae; Streptophyta; Magnoliopsida; Sapindales; Rutaceae. RNAcentral also lists the same sequence under 1 other name. The record is from RNAcentral.